GCGGAGGGCCGGAUGGCCGCUUGGGCCGCAAGGCCCGGGAGGAAAGUCCGGACUCCACAAGGCAAGGGUGCCGGGUAACGCCCGGCGGGGGUAACCCCAGGGAAAGCGCCACAGAGAACAAACCGCCCCUGUCCGCAGGGGUAAGGGUGAAACGGUGGGGUAAGAGCCCACCGCGGGACUGGUAACAGGACCGGCACGGCAAGCCCCACCCGGAGCAAUGCCGAAUAGGGGCCUCGCGCGGGAAUGAUCCGGUUCGCCGGAUAUCACCGCAGGGUCUGCCUUGACCCAGAGGCCCGGGUUGGCAGCUAUAGGCGGGCCGGUAACGGUCCGUUCAGAGGAAUGGUCAUCUCGGGCGGUUCACGCCGCCUAUGACAGAAUCCGGCUUACAGGCCCUCCGCGCAU
This 402-nucleotide RNase P RNA is filed under the name Thalassovita mangrovi. RNAcentral describes it as "RNase P RNA component class A". It matches the Rfam family "Bacterial RNase P class A". Rfam says of the family: Ribonuclease P (RNase P) is a ubiquitous endoribonuclease, found in archaea, bacteria and eukarya as well as chloroplasts and mitochondria. Its best characterised activity is the generation of mature 5'-ends of tRNAs by cleaving the 5'-leader elements of precursor-tRNAs. Lineage: Bacteria; Pseudomonadati; Pseudomonadota; Alphaproteobacteria; Rhodobacterales; Roseobacteraceae. The record is from RNAcentral.